This 245-nucleotide ribosomal RNA is filed under the name uncultured bacterium. RNAcentral's name for it is "partial 16S ribosomal RNA". It matches the Rfam family "Bacterial small subunit ribosomal RNA", at positions 1247 to 1500 of the family's 1533-position model. The record is from RNAcentral.
CCGCUACCUGGCGACAGGACGCCAAUCCCCAAAACCUCUCUCAGUUCGGAUCGAAGUCUGCAACCCGACUUCGUGAAGCUGGAUUCGCUAGUAAUCGCGCAUCAGCCAUGGCGCGGUGAAUACGUUCCCGGGCCUUGUACACACCGCCCGUCAAGCCAUGAAAGCCGGGGGUACCUGAAGUACGUAACCGCAAGGAUCGUCCUAGGGUAAAACUGGUAAUUGGGGCUAAGUCGUAACAAGGUAGC